GACAAACGCUGGCGGCGUGCCUAACACAUGCAAGUCGAACGGUUUCCCUUCGGGGAGAUAGUGGCGGACGGGUGAGUAACACGUAGAUAACCUGCCCUACAGUGGGGAAUAACCACUCGAAAGAGUGGCUAAUACCGCAUAAGUUCUCUUUCGUUAGAAGGAGAGGAAACCUUUUCUGUGAAAAGAGAGGGGCUGAAGGAGGGGUCUGCGGCGGAUUAGCUAGUUGGUGGGGUAACGGCCUACCAAGGCGACGANCCGUAGCUGGUCUGAGAGGACGGCCAGCCACACUGGGACUGAGACACGGCCCAGACUCCUACGGGAGGCAGCAGUGAGGAAUAUUGGACAAUGGGCGAAAGCCUGAUCCAAGCAACGCCGCGUGAGGGAUGACGCCU
Molecule: ribosomal RNA, 392 nt
Filed under: uncultured bacterium
Lineage: Bacteria
Description: bacterial SSU rRNA
Rfam family: Bacterial small subunit ribosomal RNA
Source: RNAcentral